RNAcentral lists this transfer RNA (65 nucleotides) under Limbodessus murrumensis. RNAcentral describes it as "tRNA-Leu". The record is from RNAcentral. Lineage: Eukaryota; Metazoa; Arthropoda; Insecta; Coleoptera; Dytiscidae.
UUAUUACUUUGGCAGAUUAGUGUGGUAAAUUUAGAAUUUAUUUAUGUAAGUUUUUACAGGUAAUA